GGGAGAAUGGAAAGCAGACCUUUCUUCCCCUGUGCAGAGGCCUCAUAGCUCACGGCAUAUGUAUGUGGAUUUGUGCUAGAGAACACAGAACAGAAAUUAGGGGGAUUCAGAAGGUAGGUGGAGAGAAAAUGCACACUAUAGGAUGCUUCUUCCACACCUCCUCCUGUGUUAGAAUUGAGGCUCCAGAAUGUCUCCCCAUGCUAGAGCCACUCCCGAGUCUCCUCCCGGCCCACGCUCCUCCUCUGACCCACAGCUUUGACCCAAGCACAUGUUCCUCCUUGAGGAAGUGUAUUUCAGGCAGACCCAUCAGACCUACCGCCAGCUCUGAGGUGCCCUCUCUUAUUCCUUCAUCGACACAGAUGGUUGGCCACCAUAUUUCACCCCGGCUGCUGUGGAUGAGCCCUUGGGCUCUGGAGCCUGUGACCUGGAGAACUGCAACCAAUUGUGGAAUUGCUUCCUCCUGCCUGUGUUCACGGGUUUGGAGGAAGAACACAGCUGCCAGGGAAGUAAGGACGCGCUAAAAGGAUUGGAACAUGGAGCGGGCCCUGGAUCCAGGAGGAGGAAGAGGCAGGUGCCUGUGGAUGGAAGGAAGCCCUUUCUACAUCAUGGAAGGAGAAGGUGAGGUGGGUCACCCUGAGCCCUCCCUGUAGGAGGAUGUAAAAGGCAGGAGCCCCAGUAGGGAGAGACCUGCUCUGCACUGCAGACAAUUCUCCUUAAACAUAUUGUUCUUCAUUAUUUUCCCAAGUAAUGCACAGACCCCUGCUACAGGCGUGCAAAGAGCAUGCUUCCUUUAUCCCUCCUGUCAAAUCCCAAUCUGUAACCCUUUAGGUGUGUGUUCCUCCAGAACCUUCCAUGCAUCCCAUGUCUGGUGUUGAGACCGUCUGUCUCCAUCACCCAUGUGGAUAUCUACUGCCUCCAUGAGUGAUAUCUGCAGCAGUUGUUAGCAAGGAUCGCUCCCUCUUCCUUGAAGCUCUCUCUGCUCUUGGGUUCCAGUUUCUAUCUCUGCCCCUUCAGGUUCUUUGCCUUACCCCCUGUCCUCCCUUGCCUACCAAGCUGGGUCCUCCUCAUUCAAGUGACCUCUAAAGGAGGGAGUAACCAUGGCUCUCCCCUCAUUGAUUCCUCCAGCCCCACAGCUCUACAUAAUGUCUGGAAGAAGAUGGCUCUCUUCUUAUUUGUAAGAGGGAGCUAAGCAUUGGGUACACAUGGGCAUACAGAUAGGAAGAGAAGACAGCAGGGACUUCUAGAGAGGGGAGGUGGGGAAGGGCUGAAAACCAUCUCUUGGGUACUACACUCACCACCUGAGUGAUGGGAUCAUACCCCAAACCUCAGCAUCAUGCAAUAAACCCUUGUAACGAGCCUACACAUGUACUCCCUAAAUCUAAAAUAAAAUUUGAAAUUAUUUUUUAAAAAGAAGAUGACUCUCAAAUAUGUUUCUACAGACUGAAGCUGGACCACCAACCACCCACCUGACACCUCAGUCUAAAUCAGCCAUGCACACUGGUUCAAAGAAGAGCCCUUGACUUUGCCUCUGCCAAG
Molecule: long non-coding RNA, 1536 nt
Filed under: Callithrix jacchus (white-tufted-ear marmoset)
Lineage: Eukaryota; Metazoa; Chordata; Mammalia; Primates; Cebidae
Description: lncRNA (ENSCJAG00000078650.1)
Source: RNAcentral